RNAcentral lists this ribosomal RNA (253 nucleotides) under uncultured bacterium. RNAcentral's name for it is "partial 16S ribosomal RNA". It matches the Rfam family "Bacterial small subunit ribosomal RNA", at positions 524 to 776 of the family's 1533-position model. The record is from RNAcentral.
GACAGAGGCCCCGAGCGUUAGGCGGAAUCACUGGGCUUAAAGCGUGUGUAGGCGGGCCCGUAAGUGUCUUGUGAAAUCCCACGGCUCAACCGUGGAACUGCUGGGCAUACUGCGGGUCUUGGGCCAACUAGGGGCAGCCGGAACAAGCGGUGGAGCGGUGAAAUGCGUAGAUAUCGCUUGGAACGCCGAAGGUGAAAACAGGCUGCUGGGGUUGCGCCGACGCUGAGACACGAAAGCCAGGGGAGCGAACGGG